RNAcentral lists this long non-coding RNA (1342 nucleotides) under Fragaria vesca (wild strawberry). Its description in RNAcentral is "long non-coding RNA (FVES_LNC003466)". The record is from RNAcentral. Lineage: Eukaryota; Viridiplantae; Streptophyta; Magnoliopsida; Rosales; Rosaceae.
UAGGGUUUAGGGUAUAGAGUUAGGUUAUAUGGUAUAAGGUUUAUGGUAUAGGGUUUAGGGUAUAGGGUAUAAGGUUUAGAACUUUAGAUCAGAUAUCUUAUUCAUAUUAUAUUUUACCUUAUGUAUAGAUUAGAGAAUGAAUUCCUUUAAUCUAGAUCUUUUCAUAAAAAUAAAGAAAACUACAUGAUUCUUGCAAAUUGAUUGAAAAAUGUUAGUGUUAGAAGAAAAACUCAUAAUUAAGGUAUUUAAGACAACAUCAAUUAAAUUUAUUUAUUAUAUUAAUAUGUUAUAGUUGAAUGGUGGCAAUUGUGUAAAAUUUAGAAAAAAUAGGAGAUAAUAUUUUUCAUAAUUGAUACAUUUUAAAUGUCUAUCAAAUAGGAAUUAAUGGGGUCUUUUAGAGGCAAUAUGCAUGGGGCCUGUCCGGGGGUUUACUGAGGGUAGUAGGAGGGUUUACUAGGGACAAUAGGAGGGUCGCAGUCGACCUGCGUUUUCUCCACCGCCAAACCCCUCACCAACAACAACAACCAAAGCUUCUCCACGGCCAAAUCGCUCACCACGGCGGGUCCUAUCACCGCUGCCCACCUCACAAUUCACACAACUAAUUUCAAAAUCCUCAAUCUCUCUGAAAACCUAAGAAAUUUCAAAUCUCCCAAAUCCCUAAUCUCCCAAAUGGCUCGUACCAAGCAAACCCUUAAGUCCCUAGCAUCACUAAAACACCUUGAUUUGGAAAAUUCAAAUAAACCAUAAAUUGGGAAAACUCCUCAGAUUAAUCCACCUCCAAGUCCCUCACCGCCUCCGACGACUUCCUCUAUUGUCCCUCCUAAGACUCUGAACCCGCCACCGACUCCCCGCCUAACUUUGCCACCGUCUUCGCCUCCCAACACUAAUUCUUCUACUCCCCCUCGAUCUGAGAGAGAGAGAGAGGUCGUCAGCGAAAGGAGCCAGAAGUGGAUGGAGAGAGAGAAAGAGAGAAGCAAGGGAAUCUGUCGGCUGCGACUGUGAUUUGAGGUAGGCCAGAGUCAGCGGAGGGACACAUCGGCGGAGCGGAUCUGGGAGAUCCAGUUGAUUCUGUGAGAUUUGGAGCUGCUGAUUCGCGAGUCUCGGAUUUGGGCUAGGGCUCUGGGUUUGAGGAACUUGAGGAACGGUGAGGACUGGUUGGGUGAGGAGCGGUGGGAGGCGAUUCUUGCGCAGCGGUUCAUGGCUGAGAGAGAGAGAGAGAGAGAGAGAGAGAGAGAGAGAGAGAGAGAGAGAGAGAGAGAGAGAGAGAGAGAGAGAGAGAGAGAGAGAGAGAGAGAGAGAGAGAGAGAGAGAGAGAGAGAGAGAGAGAGAGAGAGAGAGAGAG